GAACACGAUUUAGAAUUGCGAAGUCAAGUGGGUCUCCUUCGGGGGACGGCUUGGGGAAAUUCCCCGGACACCAGGGCAGAGAGUGCCAGCGUUAAAGCGCAGAUCCCCUCGUGAUGAAGCUUGGCGGAGAUGGUCGUUUUCGGCCGGAGCUGCGUUGGAUUCGCGAGGAUUGAUGGUCAUACUAAAAGUUAUGCAAUUGGCUCAGUGGCACAUGGCGGACGUCGUGCCGUCGCUGCUUGGAGCUAACCCGACGGGGAUUACUCAUGUUGUGUU
This 273-nucleotide RNase MRP RNA is filed under the name Phytophthora megakarya. Its description in RNAcentral is "RNase MRP". It matches the Rfam family "RNase MRP". Rfam says of the family: RNase MRP is an enzymatically active ribonucleoprotein with two distinct roles in eukaryotes. In mitochondria it plays a direct role in the initiation of mitochondrial DNA replication. The record is from Rfam by way of RNAcentral. Lineage: Eukaryota; Oomycota; Peronosporomycetes; Peronosporales; Peronosporaceae.